CUGAAGCACCAGUCCCCGUAAAUUCACCGAAAUUAAGCAACGUUGAGCUUGUUCAGUACUCAGAUGGGUGACUGCUUGGGAAUAACAGCU
Molecule: non-coding RNA, 90 nt
Organism: Acanthosepion pharaonis
Lineage: Eukaryota; Metazoa; Mollusca; Cephalopoda; Sepiida; Sepiidae
Source: the annotation of a GenBank genome assembly